RNAcentral lists this ribosomal RNA (468 nucleotides) under uncultured bacterium. RNAcentral's name for it is "partial 16S ribosomal RNA". It matches the Rfam family "Bacterial small subunit ribosomal RNA", at positions 28 to 507 of the family's 1533-position model. The record is from RNAcentral.
GACGAACGCUGGCGGCGUGCUUAACACAUGCAAGUCGAACGGAAAGGCCCUGCUUUUGUGGGGUGCUCGAGUGGCGAACGGGUGAGUAACACGUGAGUAACCUGCCCUUGACUUUGGGAUAACUUCAGGAAACUGGGGCUAAUACCGGAUAGGAGCUCCUGCUGCAUGGUGGGGGUUGGAAAGUUUCGGCGGUUGGGGAUGGACUCGCGGCUUAUCAGCUUGGUGGUGGGGUAGUGGCUUACCAAGGCUUUGACGGGUAGCCGGCCUGAGAGGGUGACCGGCCACAUUGGGACUGAGAUACGGCCCAGACUCCUACGGGAGGCAGCAGUGGGGAAUAUUGCACAAUGGGCGGAAGCCUGAUGCAGCAACGCCGCGUGCUGGAUGACGGCCUUCGGGUUGUAAACCGCUUUCGCCUGUGACGAAGCGUGAGUGACGGUAAUGGGUAAAGAAGCACCGGCUAACUACGUG